This 81-nucleotide ribosomal RNA is filed under the name Aliarcobacter sp. Its description in RNAcentral is "partial 16S ribosomal RNA". It matches the Rfam family "Bacterial small subunit ribosomal RNA", at positions 1 to 81 of the family's 1533-position model. The record is from RNAcentral. Lineage: Bacteria; Pseudomonadati; Campylobacterota; Epsilonproteobacteria; Campylobacterales; Arcobacteraceae.
UUUAUGGAGAGUUUGAUCCUGGCUCAGAGUGAACGCUGGCGGCGUGCUUAACACAUGCAAGUCGAACGAGAACGGAAUAUA